CCCCUAGUAACGGCGAGUGAAGCGGGAAGAGCUCAAAUUUAAAAUCGGGCCGUCAACGCGGUACUCCGAAUUGUAGUUUGAUGAGAUGUACCCGGCUACCGCACAGGUCUAAGUCCUUUGGAAGAGGGCGCCACAGAGGGUGAUAGUCCCGUCCGUGGCCUGUGUUUGCAAUGGUAGCCUUACUGUGGGUCAUCCUCACAGAGUCGAGUUGUUUGGGAAUGCAGCUCAAAGUGGGUGGUAAACGCCAUCAAAGGCUAAAUACAGGCGAGAGACCGAUAGCGAACAAGUACCGUGAGGGAAAGUUGAAAAGCACUCUGAAGAGAGAGUCAAACAGCACGUGAAAUUGCCAACAGGGAAACGAUGGGCGCCAGUGAUGGUGAGGCAGUAGGUACAAGCAGCGGCUCGCGCAAGUGAGCCAACGCCUUACUCCUGCUGCCGCCGGUCAACAUUUGUGCGGCUGCGGUUAAAACGGUCUGGGGGAGGUAGGUCGCUUGCGACCACUUAUAAUCCCACGCGCAGUGACCGCGGCUGCACUGAGGGUAAGCAAUCUUAACCGCGGGGCCUGGUCCGGAGAAGUGAGCAGCCACUGGCUACGACAGUCUGACUGACCUGCCUAUGGUUUGCUCUGCUCCGCGGCCAACGCCACCCAUAAGAUGACUGAUGGUUGACGAAAUGGCGUCCAACGACCCGUCUUGAAACACGGACCAAGGAGUCUAACAUGUGUGCGAGUGUUUGGGUGUGUAAAACCCGGACGCGCAAUGAAAGUGAGCAAAGGCAAGACGCUGUCGAGUCACAUCGGCGGCCGCACUGUCAACCGACCAAUGUGCUCAUGUGGCACUUGGUUUGCGUUAGAGCAGACCUGUUAGGACCCGAAAGAUGGUGAACUAUGCCUGAGUAGGACGAAGCCAGAGGAAACUCUGGUGGAGGUCCGUAGCGGUUCUGACGUGCAAAUCGAUCGUCAAACUUGGGUAUAGGGGCGAAAGACUAAUCGAACCAUCUAGUAGCUGGUUCCCGCCGAAGUUUCCCUCAGGAUAGCAGAAACGUAAGACAGUAUUAUGGGGUAAAGCGAAUGAUUAGAGGCCUUGGGGAUGUAACAUCCUUAACCUAUUCUCAAACUUUAAAUAUGUAAGAAGUCCUUGCUGCUCAACUAUGAGCCUGGACGAGUAUGGUCGCGUUUCUAGUGGGCCAUUUUUGGUAAGCAGAACUGGCGAUGUGGGAUGAACCAGACGGGAGGUUAAGGUGCCGGAAUGCACGCUCAUCUAGACACCACAAAAGGUGUUGGUUCAUCCAGACAGCAGGACGGUGGCCAUGGAAGUCGGAAUCCGCUAAGAAGUGUGUAACAACUUACCUGCCGAAUGAACUAGCCCUGAAAAUGGAUGGCGCUGAAGCGUGCUACCCAAACCUCCCCGCCUCGGCACGUACAAGCCGAGGCGAGUAGGCGGGCGUGGAGGUGUGUGUAGAAGCGUGG
RNAcentral lists this ribosomal RNA (1468 nucleotides) under Cochlonema odontosperma. RNAcentral describes it as "partial large subunit ribosomal RNA". It matches the Rfam family "Eukaryotic large subunit ribosomal RNA", at positions 77 to 1413 of the family's 3401-position model. The record is from RNAcentral. Lineage: Eukaryota; Fungi; Zoopagomycota; Zoopagomycetes; Zoopagales; Cochlonemataceae.